UAUUGGUCAAUGGAGGGAACUCUGAACCAGCCAUGCCGCGUGCAGGAAGAAUGCCCUCUGGGUUGUAAACUGCUUUUAUCCGGGAAUAAACCUCACUACGUGUAGUGAGCUGAAUGUACCGGAGGAAUAAGGAUCGGCUAACUCCGUGCCAGCAGCCGCGGUAAUACGGAGGAUCCAAGCGUUAUCCGGAUUUAUUGGGUUUAAAGGGUGCGUAGGCGGCCUAUUAAGUCAGGGGUGAAAGACGGUGGCUCAACCAUCGCAGUGCCUUUGAUACUGAUGGGCUUGAAUGCAGCUGAGGUAGGCGGAAUGUGACAAGUAGUGGUGAAAUGCAUAGAUAUGUCACAGAACACCGAUUGCGAAGGCAGCUUACUAAAGUGCGAUUGACGCUGAGGCACGAAAGCGUGGGGAUCAAACAGG
This 417-nucleotide ribosomal RNA is filed under the name uncultured bacterium. Its description in RNAcentral is "bacterial SSU rRNA". It matches the Rfam family "Bacterial small subunit ribosomal RNA", at positions 362 to 776 of the family's 1533-position model. The record is from RNAcentral.